This 843-nucleotide ribosomal RNA is filed under the name uncultured archaeon. Its description in RNAcentral is "bacterial SSU rRNA". It matches the Rfam family "Archaeal small subunit ribosomal RNA", at positions 76 to 922 of the family's 1478-position model. The record is from RNAcentral.
ACGUGGCGCACGGCUCAGUAACACGUAGUCAACAUGCCCAGAGGACGUGGAUAACCUCGGGAAACUGAGUCUAAACCGCGAUAAGUGAGGAUUUCUGGAAUGGUUCCUGACUAAAAUCUAUAUGGCCUCUGGAUUGGACUGCGGCCGAUCAGGCUGUUGGUGAGGUAAUGGCCCACCAAACCUGUAACCGGUACGGGCUCUGAGAGGAGGAGCCCGGAGAUGGGCACUGAGACAAGGGCCCAGGCCCUAUGGGGCGCAGCAGGCGCGAAACCUCUGCAAUAGGCGAAAGCCUGACAGGGUUACUCUGAGUGACUUUCGCUAAGAAAGUCUUUUGGCACCUCUAAAAAGGGUGCAGAAUAAGGGGUGGGCAAGUCUGGUGUCAGCCGCCGCGGUAAUACCAGCACCCCGAGUGGUCGGGACGAUUAUUGGGCCUAAAGCAUCCGUAGCCGGUUCUGCAAGUCCCCCGUUAAAUCCAGCUGCUCAACAGAUGGGCCGCGGAGGAUACUACAGAGCUAGGAGGCAGGAGAGGCAAGCGGUACUCAGUGGGUAGGGGUAAAAUCCGUUGAUCCAUUGAAGACCACCAGUGGCGAAGGCGGCUUGCCAGAACGCGCUCGACGGUGAGGGAUGAAAGCUGGGGGAGCAAACCGGAUUAGAUACCCGGGUAGUCCCAGCCGUAAACGAUGCAGACUCGGUGAUGGGUUGGCUUCGCGCUAACCCAGUGCCGCAGGGAAGCCGUUAAGUCUGCCGCCUGGGUAGUACGGUCGCAAGACUGAAACUUAAAGGAAUUGGCGGGGGAGCACCACAAGGGGUGAAGCCUGCGGUUCAAUUGGAUUCAACGCCGGG